This 406-nucleotide ribosomal RNA is filed under the name uncultured bacterium. RNAcentral describes it as "partial 16S ribosomal RNA". It matches the Rfam family "Bacterial small subunit ribosomal RNA", at positions 29 to 526 of the family's 1533-position model. The record is from RNAcentral.
AUUGAACGCUGGCGGCAGGCCUAACACAUGCAAGUCGAGCGAGAGGCGGACGGGUGAGUAAUGUCUGGGAAAAUGCCUGAUGGAGGGGGAUAACUACUGGAAACGGUAGCUAAUACAGCAUACCAUCAGAUGUGCCCAGAUGGGAUGAGCGAGUAGGUGGGGUAACGGCGCACCUAGGCGACGAUCCCUCGCGGGUCUGAGAGGAUGACCAGCCACACUGGAACUGAGACACGGUCCAGACUCCUACGGGAGGCAGCAGUGGGGAAUAUUGCACAAUGGGCGCAAGCCUGAUGCAGCCAUGCCGCGUGUGUGAAGAAGGCCUUCGGGUUGUAAAGCACUUUCAGCGGGGAGGCGUUACCCGCAGAAGAAGCACCGGCUAACUCCGUGCCAGCAGCCGCGGUAAUUC